UUAUGGAAGUAAACAACUUUUUUUUUAUGCAUGCCAGUAUGUUCAUGAGAACCCACCUGUAUCUUCGAUGUAUAGUAAAUAAGAGCAUUGGGUAAAUUCAUGUUCAUUUGCAAUACGUUGCAAUCUACACAGAAUGGUGAAAAUACUUAACUAGAUAAUUAAUUGAUGAAGUACAUUAAUGGCAAAGGAAAAUGCUGAAUGCACAUAAUAUGUGCGCACAUAAUUGGAUAUUUUUGUCAUUUUAUAAAUCUCCAUAAAUUAUGGAGUUAAUACA
Molecule: long non-coding RNA, 274 nt
Filed under: Salvia miltiorrhiza (redroot sage)
Lineage: Eukaryota; Viridiplantae; Streptophyta; Magnoliopsida; Lamiales; Lamiaceae
Description: long non-coding RNA (SMIL_LNC001369)
Source: RNAcentral